Molecule: non-coding RNA, 1241 nt
Organism: Drosophila melanogaster (fruit fly)
Lineage: Eukaryota; Metazoa; Arthropoda; Insecta; Diptera; Drosophilidae
Source: Ensembl
AAUGUUUUUGUUUUGAUUUAAAAACAAGUCCUCGAUGGAUUUGCUUCUAGAAGUUGAAAUAUGGCAUGAACUUAGCUUUGAAGUCCUUGAACCCGAACCCGAGGUAUAUGUAUAAUGAAUUGCUGGCCACAGAAAUCCUGCUCGUGCCCUUCUCAGGCCGUUAACUUCUUCCACACAUCGACCGUCCGCUCGCUGUGCGACACACCAUAUAGUGCUUAUCCGUGUCACCUGUUAUCAAUUCCUGGAAAACCACUUCGUUCUCACCGUGCACUAUAUUCAAGAAUCUGCAGCUAUUAACCGCUUUCUCAGCGUUUCAACUAUUCGCAGAGGUGCGUCAGAAAGGUUCCCUUUUUAUUUGGCUAAAAUCCUCAGAUAGAGCCAAACGGAACAUAGUAGCCCAAACUCUUGAAAGUUUCAACUUAAACGGGGAUGCUCCAGUGAUUGUUACGGAAUAUGACGAGAGCUUCAAAACUGCGUUUGAAAACCAGGUUCACUGUGCUACGGUACACAGUUGAUCAGGGCUGCAAUUUCUAUAUGAAAAAAUAAUUGGGACGUUUAAAGAUGUCCAGCACGAUUAAGGAGUAAUGUAAUGGCCGUGAUUAGUUUCUUGCCGAACUUCGAGAACUCUGCAAGGGAGUUGGAAGCCGUCACAAAACCCACGCUGCACUGGGUGAUUCCGCAUUUACGAAAACUGUCUUCCGAUGUCGUGGCUGAGGAACUUCACUUUUCACCCACAACAAACUGCGACGUUUCAAGGAAUCCUAAAAGCAAGCUAGAAUAAGCAAUGGAGUCCAACUAUGUGGAGUCCAACAGCCAGAGUAAAAGGUUCCCCGUUAAAAUGACAGCAACGACUUAGUAGCCCGCGAAAUCAACGGAUAUCUGAUUAUGCAGGUAGUGCUGAACACUGAUUUCAAAACGCACCACUGGUGUAAGGCCCCGAAUGCCAGUUUUCACUCCUCUAUAAAGUCAGUUGCAAGGUAUUUGCUCGAAAUACGCUGUUCCACGCCCAAAAUCUAAUUAGCGCGUCAUCUGGAUCCACAGGAGACUUAGAUCGGGCUUGGACUAAACUUGUUUUCUAAAUCAUAACACGAAAAAUGUUUAAUAUUGUUUUUUCAAGUGUAUUUUAUGUUUAAAAUGUGUUGGUUUAUCGUUUUCAGUCAUAUACCUUAAGUUAUAUUGUUUGUAAAGCCCAUAGAACAAAUAUAUAUUGAAAACACUCCUGUAAUAUCCCAGAGCACAAC